ACCAAAAUGAUGAAAUUGGUAGACAUGCUAGGUUUAGGUUCUAGUUCUUUUUAAAGAGUAAGGGUUCAAAUCCCUUUUUUGGUA
Molecule: transfer RNA, 84 nt
Filed under: Stephanopyxis turris
Lineage: Eukaryota; Bacillariophyta; Melosirophyceae; Stephanopyxales; Stephanopyxidaceae
Description: tRNA-Leu
Rfam family: tRNA
About the family: Transfer RNA (tRNA) molecules are approximately 80 nucleotides in length. Their secondary structure includes four short double-helical elements and three loops (D, anti-codon, and T loops).
Source: RNAcentral